AGUGCUUGCACAAAGCUGGGGACAGUGGCGAACGGGUGAGUAACACGUGGGUAACCUGCCCUGUAGUCGGGCACAACAGUUGGAAACGACUGCUAAUUCCCGAUAGUCUGCAGCAACGUAGGUUGUUGCAGUAAAGGUUUUUCCGCUACAGGAUGGGCCCGCGGGCCAUUAGCUUGUUGGUGGGGUAACGGCCUACCAAGGCGACGAUGGCUAGCCGGUCUGAGAGGAUGAUCGGCCACACUGGGACUGAGACAUGGUCCAGACUCCUCCGGGAGUUAGCAUCAGGGAAUCUUGCGCAAUGGGCGAAAGCCUGACGCAGCGACGCCGCGUGAGGGAUGAAGGUCUGCGGAUCGUAAACCUCUGUAAGCAGGGACGAAUGCCCGAUUCGGUCGGGAGCGACGGUACCUGCAAAGUAAGCUCCGGCUAACUACGUGCCAGCAGCCGCGGUAAUACGUAGGGAGCCAGCGUUGUCCGGAUUUACUGGGCGUAAAGAGCGCGUAGGCGGUUUUGUAAGCGGAGGGUGAAAUCCCGGGGCUCAACUCCGGGGCUGCUUUCCGAACUGCAAGACUAGAGUACGGGAGAGGAUAGUGGAAUUCCUGGUGUAGCGGUGGAAUGCGUAAAUAUCAGGAGGAACACCCGUGGCGAAGGCUGCUAUCUGGAACGUUACUGACGCUGAGGCGCGAAAGCUAGGGGAGCGAACGGGAUUAGAUACCCCGGUAGUCCUAGCUGUAAACGAUGGAUACUAGGUGUUGGAGGCAUCGACCCCUUCAGUGCUGUUAUGCUAACGCGUUAAGUAUCCCGCCUGGGGAGUACGGCCGCAAGGUUGAAACUCAAAGGAAUUGACGGGGGCCCGCACAAGCGGUGGAGCAUGUUGGUUAAUUGGAUGAUACGCCCAGAACCUUACCAGGGUUUGACAUGUUUGGGACAGCUGGUGAAAGCCCAGUCUC
Molecule: ribosomal RNA, 947 nt
Filed under: uncultured bacterium
Lineage: Bacteria
Description: bacterial SSU rRNA
Rfam family: Bacterial small subunit ribosomal RNA
Source: RNAcentral